UGGGGAAUAUUGGACAAUGGGCGCAAGCCUGAUCCAGCCAUGCCGCGUGAGUGACGAAGGUCUUCGGAUUGUAAAGCUCUUUUAGCAGGGAAGAUAAUGACGGUACCUGCAGAAUAAGCCCCGGCUAACUUCGUGCCAGCAGCCGCGGUAAUACGAAGGGGGCUAGCGUUGUUCGGAAUUACUGGGCGUAAAGCGCACGUAGGCGGAUUGAUAAGUUAGAGGUGAAAUCCCGGGGCUCAACCUCGGAACUGCCUUUGAUACUGUUAGUCUCGAGUCCGAUAGAGGUGAGUGGAAUUCCUAGUGUAGAGGUGAAAUUCGUAGAUAUUAGGAAGAACACCAGUGGCGAAGGCGGCCAACUGGCUCGAUACUGACGCUGAGGUGCGAAAGCGUGGGGAGCAAACAGGAUUAGAUACCCACGUAGUCCCUGAGCGGGCUGGCAAGGCGCAU
Molecule: ribosomal RNA, 447 nt
Filed under: uncultured bacterium
Lineage: Bacteria
Description: bacterial SSU rRNA
Rfam family: Bacterial small subunit ribosomal RNA
Source: RNAcentral